AUUGAACGCUGGCGGCAUGCUUUACACAUGCAAGUCGAACGGUAACAGGUCUUCGGAUGCUGACGAGUGGCGAACGGGUGAGUAAUGCAUCGGAACGUGCCCAGUCGUGGGGGAUAACGCAGCGAAAGCUGUGCUAAUACCGCAUACGAUCUAUGGAUGAAAGCGGGGGAUCGCAAGACCUCGCGCUAUUGGAGCGGCCGAUAUCAGAUUAGCUAGUUGGUGGGGUAAAGGCCUACCAAGGCUACGAUCUGUAGUUGGUCUGAGAGGACGACCAGCCACACUGGGACUGAGACACGGCCCAGACUCCUACGGGAGGCAGCAGUGGGGAAUUUUGGACAAUGGGCGCAAGCCUGAUCCAGCAAUGCCGCGUGCAGGAAGAAGGCCUUCGGGUUGUAAACUGCUUUUGUCAGGGAAGAAAUCUUCUGGGCUAAUACCCCGGGAGGAUGACGGUACCUGAAGAAUAAGCACCGGCUAACUACGUG
This 482-nucleotide ribosomal RNA is filed under the name uncultured bacterium. RNAcentral's name for it is "bacterial SSU rRNA". It matches the Rfam family "Bacterial small subunit ribosomal RNA", at positions 30 to 507 of the family's 1533-position model. The record is from RNAcentral.